Etheostoma spectabile (orangethroat darter) is the source of this 675-nucleotide long non-coding RNA. RefSeq lists it as uncharacterized. The transcript has 3 exons. Lineage: Eukaryota; Metazoa; Chordata; Actinopteri; Perciformes; Percidae. The record is from RefSeq and is a predicted model, not a curated record.
CCAGCGAUGCUGUCUACCUGCUGUUCGACACGCUGUUGUGCAGCAUCACAACAAGGGAUCCAUGGUGUUGAGUGGAUGUGCCUGGCCAUCUUGCUCAGGUCUCUGUGUGGAAUGCACAAAAUUCCUCCUGUUUUCCUCAACAGUAGCACUGACGAGCUGUACAUAUCUUUGUAGCUUCAUUGUGAAACAUUACAACAUUAAUGCUAACCUUAGUAUUUUGUGGUUUUAACAGUUUGCACCACUGUCUGGCAUACAUACUGCUUUCACUCCAAAGACAAAAGACAAAAGACUUUGCCUAUGGCUCCAUGUACAGUAGAGAAACCUGUUCUCCACACACCAGCCGUCUCUCCAUCUACAGACCACUCAACUGUCGUCUCUCCAUCUACAGACCACUCAACUGUCGUCUCUCCAUCUACAGACCACUCAACUGUCGUCUCUCCAUCUACAGACCACACACCAGUUGUCUCUCCAUCUGCAGACCACUCACCAGUUGUCUCUCCAUCUGCAGACCACUCACCAGUCGUCUCUCUAUCUGCAGGCAACACACCAUUUCUCUCCUCUACAGUGCUCCCUGAAGAGAAUAAAAGUGACUUCAGUGAAGAGGAGCUAUCGGAUGAUGUAUCUGAUCCAGAAUACGUUCCAGGCUCAGAAAGUGACACAGAGGAUGAGGACCAA